RNAcentral lists this ribosomal RNA (500 nucleotides) under uncultured bacterium. RNAcentral's name for it is "partial 16S ribosomal RNA". It matches the Rfam family "Bacterial small subunit ribosomal RNA", at positions 30 to 523 of the family's 1533-position model. The record is from RNAcentral.
AUUGAACGCUGGCGGAAUGCUUUACACAUGCAAGUCGAACGGCAGCACGGACUUCGGUCUGGUGGCGAGUGGCGAACGGGUGAGUAAUGUAUCGGAACGUGCCCAGUCGUGGGGGAUAACGUAGUGAAAAUUACGCUAAUACCGCAUACGAUCUAUGGAUGAAAGCGGGGGAUCGCAAGACCUCGCGCGAUUGGAACGGCCGAUAUCAGAUUAGGUAGUUGGUGGGGUAAAGGCCCACCAAGCCAACGAUCUGUAGCUGGUCUGAGAGGACGACCAGCCACACUGGAACUGAGACACGGUCCAGACUCCUACGGGAGGCAGCAGUGGGGAAUUUUGGACAAUGGGCGAAAGCCUGAUCCAGCCAUUCCGCGUGCAGGAUGAAGGCCCUCGGGUUGUAAACUGCUUUUGUACAGAACGAAAAGGUUUCUACUAAUACUAGGAGCUCAUGACGGUACAGUAAGAAUAAGCACCGGCUAACUACGUGCCAGCAGCCGCCGUAA